AGAGUUUGAUCCUGGCUCAGGACGAACGCUGGCGGCGUGCCUAAUACAUGCAAGUAGAACGCACAGUUUAUACCGUAGCUUGCUACACCAUAGACUGUGAGUUGCGAACGGGUGAGUAACGCGUAGGUAACCUGCCUAUUAGAGGGGGAUAACUAUUGGAAACGAUAGCUAAUACCGCAUAACAGUAUGUAACACAUGUUAGAUGCUUGAAAGAUGCAAUUGCAUCGCUAGUAGAUGGACCUGCGUUGUAUUAGCUAGUAGGUAGGGUAAAGGCCUACCUAGGCAACGAUACAUAGCCGACCUGAGAGGGUGAUCGGCCACACUGGGACUGAGACACGGCCCAGACUCCUACGGGAGGCAGCAGUAGGGAAUCUUCGGCAAUGGGGGGAACCCUGACCGAGCAACGCCGCGUGAGUGAAGAAGGUUUUCGGAUCGUAAAGCUCUGUUGUUAAGGAAGAACGAGUGUGAGAAUGGAAAGUUCAUACUGUGACGGUACUUAACCAGAAAGGGACGGCUAACUACGUGCCAGCAGCCGCGGUAAUACGUAGGUCCCGAGCGUUGUCCGGAUUUAUUGGGCGUAAAGCGAGCGCAGGCGGUUAGAAAAGUCUGAAGUGAAAGGCAGUGGCUCAACCAUUGUAGGCUUUGGAAACUGUUUAACUUGAGUGCAGAAGGGGAGAGUGGAAUUCCAUGUGUAGCGGUGAAAUGCGUAGAUAUAUGGAGGAACACCGGUGGCGAAAGCGGCUCUCUGGUCUGUAACUGACGCUGAGGCUCGAAAGCGUGGGGAGCGAACAGGAUUAGAUACCCUGGUAGUCCACGCCGUAAACG
RNAcentral lists this ribosomal RNA (825 nucleotides) under uncultured bacterium. Its description in RNAcentral is "bacterial SSU rRNA". It matches the Rfam family "Bacterial small subunit ribosomal RNA", at positions 8 to 808 of the family's 1533-position model. The record is from RNAcentral.